This 240-nucleotide ribosomal RNA is filed under the name uncultured bacterium. Its description in RNAcentral is "partial 16S ribosomal RNA". It matches the Rfam family "Bacterial small subunit ribosomal RNA", at positions 333 to 567 of the family's 1533-position model. The record is from RNAcentral.
GUACCUACGGGGCGCAGCAGUAGGGAAUCUUCCACAAUGGACGAAAGUCUGAUGGAGCAACGCCGCGUGAGUGAAGAAGGGUUUCGGCUCGUAAAGCUCUGUUGGUAGUGAAGAAAGAUAGAGGUAGUAACUGGCCUUUAUUUGACGGUAAUUACUUAGAAAGUCACGGCUAACUACGUGCCAGCCGCCGCGGUAAUACGUAGGGGGCAAGCGUUAUCCGGAAUGAUUGGGCGGAAAGGG